This 432-nucleotide long non-coding RNA is filed under the name Danio rerio (zebrafish). RNAcentral's name for it is "long non-coding RNA NONDRET014694". The record is from RNAcentral. Lineage: Eukaryota; Metazoa; Chordata; Actinopteri; Cypriniformes; Danionidae.
GAAUUGUUCAACUGUUUUCAUAGACUGUGGGUGUUUCAAUGGGGCAGCGGAGAGUGCUCCAAAAAAGGUAUAAGCUAACAAAGAGAUGCUAUAGCGGAAUGUCAACUCAAUGUGCAAAAUGUUCAGAAGGGACAUACCAAGACAAAAUGAACUAUUUCCCAAACUGCUUCAGAUGCCAGGAAUGUACUAAGAGAAGUCAUGCAGUGAUGAUUUCGCCGUGUACGUACCAAAGUAACACUGUUUGUGGAUGUCAAUCAGGAUACCGCAAAAAAAUGUUUGACAGUAUUUCAUGGGCUUGUGAGCCCUUUAAAAAGAGUGAUUACGUAUAACUUAAAACAAGAGGAGAGAAAUAUCAUCCAGGCUUCGUGAGACGGAAGUAAACAUGUCUAUCUCCAUCCAUGGUUCGGGCCUUAAUAAAAAAAAAGUUUGGGC